GGCUCCCUGUUUUUUCACAAUGGGAGUCGGACCUGCUCGGUGAAUUAUUUUAACAGCCGCGGUACUCUGACCGUGCAAAGGUAGCAUAAUCAUUUGCCUUAUAAUUGAAGGCUAGUAUGAAUGGUUUGACGAGAAUUGAGCUGUCUCUUUUCAACUAAAUAUAAUUUUAUUAAUAGGUGAAGAAGCCUAUAUUUCAUUGAAAGACAAGAAGACCCUAUCGAGCUUUAAGGAAUUUAAUAGACUCGCCAUAUAUUUAUAGAAAAACGAGACUACUAAAAACUUUGGUUGGGGCGACUGAGGAACAAAUAAAGCUUCCUCUUGAUUUAAAAUAACUUACAGGUAUUGAUCCAAUAAAUUUGAUUAAAGGAAUUAGUUACCGUAGGGAUAACAGCAUAAUCCCCUUUGAGAGUCCUUAUCGAAAAGGGGGUUUGUGACCUCGAUGUUGGACCAGAAUACCCAGAAGAUGCAGCCGUCUUCAAUGGUUGGUCUGUUCGACCAUUAAAAUUCU
RNAcentral lists this ribosomal RNA (508 nucleotides) under Concholepas concholepas. RNAcentral's name for it is "partial 16S ribosomal RNA". It matches the Rfam family "Bacterial large subunit ribosomal RNA", at positions 1819 to 2597 of the family's 2925-position model. The record is from RNAcentral. Lineage: Eukaryota; Metazoa; Mollusca; Gastropoda; Neogastropoda; Muricidae.